UUUUUAUUUUAUUCAUAAUAAAUUAUGUUCCAUAUAUAAAUAUUUGAUAUGAAAUUAAAGCCCUGUUUCCCCUGAACAAAAUGAUAUAUAAUAAGUGUGGGUGCAUUUAAUAUGAAAAAGGAGCAUUACAGGUGAAAAGACAUAUAGCGCAAAUUCCAGUGUUUGUUUUGAUCAGAACGUGCACUAUUGACUCCGUCCUGAAGGGGAUAAUGGAUCUGAUGUUUAC
Pelobates cultripes (western spadefoot toad) is the source of this 226-nucleotide non-coding RNA. NCBI's taxonomy places the organism in Eukaryota, Metazoa, Chordata, Amphibia, Anura, Pelobatidae. The record is from the annotation of a GenBank genome assembly.